GCGGGCGUGGCGGAACUGGUAGACGCGCUGGAUUUAGGUUCCAGUGGGCAACCGUGGGGGUUCGAGUCCCUCCGCCCGCACCA
RNAcentral lists this transfer RNA (83 nucleotides) under Allosphingosinicella ginsenosidimutans. RNAcentral describes it as "Sphingosinicella ginsenosidimutans tRNA-Leu". It matches the Rfam family "tRNA". From Rfam's summary of the family: Transfer RNA (tRNA) molecules are approximately 80 nucleotides in length. Their secondary structure includes four short double-helical elements and three loops (D, anti-codon, and T loops). Further hydrogen bonds mediate the characteristic L-shaped molecular structure. tRNAs have two regions of fundamental functional importance: the anti-codon, which is responsible for specific mRNA codon recognition, and the 3' end, to which the tRNAs corresponding amino acid is attached (by aminoacyl-tRNA synthetases). tRNAs cope with the degeneracy of the genetic code in two manners: having more than one tRNA (with a specific anti-codon) for a particular amino acid; and 'wobble' base-pairing, i.e. permitting non-standard base-pairing at the 3rd anti-codon position. The record is from RNAcentral. RNAcentral also lists the same sequence under 2 other names. Lineage: Bacteria; Pseudomonadati; Pseudomonadota; Alphaproteobacteria; Sphingomonadales; Sphingomicrobiaceae.